UAAUUAAGCAAAGGAAAAGAAAACAACAAAGAUUUGUGGAGUAACGGCGAGUGAAUCACAAAUAGCCUGAAAUGAUAAUCAACAUCUGUUGAGUUGUGCAUUGAUCUCUUUAUUCAUCUACGGGCAAAGUCUUCCGGAAAGAAGCAGCAUUGAAUGUAAAACUCCUGCUUGCCGUCAAGUGAAAAGAGAGGUUGGAGAAUUGAGUUGUUUGGGAUUGUAGCUCUAAUUUGGUGGUAAAUUCCAUCUAAUGCUAAAUAAAUAUGAGAGACCAAUAGUGCAAAAGUACCAUGAGGGAAAGAUGCAAAGUCACGCGAAAGCGCUGUCAAAGAGCACCUGAAAUUGCUGAAAAGGAAGCCAAGAAAACCAGUGAUUCCAUGUCUGCAUAUUUUUGGUCGUUUACGACCGGGAUACUGCAACUGGUACUGUUUUGUAACAAUGCCCUCUACUCACUGAACGGCUGUUCAAGAGCGCUGUUGUAUCGAACAAAAUGGUUUUCUUUUUCCCG
RNAcentral lists this ribosomal RNA (505 nucleotides) under Campylodiscus cf. decorus. RNAcentral's name for it is "eukaryotic LSU rRNA". It matches the Rfam family "Eukaryotic large subunit ribosomal RNA", at positions 43 to 651 of the family's 3401-position model. The record is from RNAcentral. Lineage: Eukaryota; Bacillariophyta; Bacillariophyceae; Surirellales; Surirellaceae.